UUUCUUAAACCCAAAUCUUGCAUUUCGCUCGCAUUCGGCAUCUGGUCUGGAUUUCCAAAUAAGACCCGCGCUCAGCUUCCAGUAAGAAAAGCCAAUUCGCGCCGCAGCCGGACUCACCGCGCUCUGCACACCUGUCGUUGAUUCCGAAGUCCCGCAAAUGUCGAAAAAGGACAACCUUGAAUGAUUGCACCCUACACCCGAGAUGCUAUGAAACUCUCAAAGCAAACAAAAACGUUUGGAGAGCAAGCAAUUGGACUCUUCCACAAAAACAAUCUGUUUCCCUGUCGUGACAGUGACCUACAAGCGCAGCACCAAGUGUUAGCAUUUCCGCUCUCCUGUAGGACUCUCCACAGAACACGCAUGGAUUGGAUUUGUCAAAUGUGCCAGUUCCUCAGAUUCUUAUGAAGCAGAUUCAGAGUUGUCCUACGCUCUUCUUCAUCUAUAAGUCGUACAUUAAGCUGCUUCUGUUGUGCAGAUAUUAAAAUGUUUGUGAAGGGA
This is a long non-coding RNA of Osmerus eperlanus (European smelt), 498 nucleotides long. RefSeq lists it as uncharacterized. The record is from RefSeq and is a predicted model, not a curated record. Lineage: Eukaryota; Metazoa; Chordata; Actinopteri; Osmeriformes; Osmeridae. The transcript is spliced from 2 exons.